RNA transcript from Neoarius graeffei (lesser salmon catfish), 4397 nucleotides. It is a transcript of the gene named SUZ12 polycomb repressive complex 2 subunit a, with no coding region annotated. Lineage: Eukaryota; Metazoa; Chordata; Actinopteri; Siluriformes; Ariidae. The record is from RefSeq and is a predicted model, not a curated record. The transcript has 17 exons.
UUCAGCGCGACCGCAAUGCAUGAUGGGAUAUAUAUUGCUUGGUUAGUGACUAUCGGUUGUACGCUACUUUUCGUGAUGCAUCGUUUCGGAUAGCACUACAAAAUGGCGCCUUCACUAUAUAGUGCACUACAUAGUGAGUAGGGCGCGAUUUCGGACACAGGGUUCGGUGUUUUCGAAGGGGGCGGAUUAUGGCACCGCACAAGCCCGGCUCGGAUCCCUACAGAUCCGCAAAAACACACGCGCAUCCGGUACACGCCAGCGGCCUGGCCAUGAGUGCUGCCAAGAGACCCAAAAUGGAGCAGCUCCAAGCCGACCACGAGCUCUUCCUGCAGGCUUUCGAGAAGCCAACUCAGAUAUACAGAUUCCUUCGAACAAGGAACCUCAUGGCUCCCAUUUUUCUGCACAGGACUCUGACGUAUAUGUCCCACCGCAACUCCCGAGCCAGUGGCAAAAGAAAACAUUUCAGCUUGGACGAUCUGCUCUGCAAAGUGGCGAGGAUGAAAACUGAUCAGGAGGCACACAAUUUGACGUCACACCUGCAGCUCACUUUCACUGGCUUCUUCCAUAAAGUUGAUAAGACGCAGAACUGUGAAAACGAGGAGAGCUCUGUGUCGCUGGAAGUGUUGCUCAUCAAAGUGUGUCAUAAGAAGAGGAAGGAUGUGAGUUGUCCCAUAAAACAGGUGCCGACAGGGAAGAAGCAGGUGCCGUUGAACCCGCGACUGAAGACUGGAACUUGGCCGACCAUCACGGUGCACAGUCAGGAGUUUGAGCCUAGUAACAGCCACAUGGUGAAGUCUUACUCGCUGCUUUUCAGAGUCACGUGUCCUGCAGGGAGGGAGAUCAGCACCCGAGACAACAACAUUACUGACGAGAUACCCAGCAGGAAGAAGCGUUACUCCUCCCACCGAGAUGACGGAGAGACCACGUUUGUAGCGCAGAUGACAGUGUUUGAUAAGAACAGGCGUCUGCAGCUGCUGGAUGGUGAAUACGAAGUGUCGAUGCAAGAGAUGGAGGAGUGUCCCGUCGGCAAGAAACGAGCCACGUGGGAAACCAUCGUGGAUGGGAAGUGGGUCCCUCCGUUCGACACGUUCUCUCACGGCCCGACUCUGCAGUUCACGCUCCGCUGGACAGGCCAGGAAAGUGACAUCGCCACGCCGCCGAUGACCCGACCUCUCGCUACGCGCAACACGCACACGAGUGGCAGCGAGAACCAGAGGACUACCACACCUAAACCGUCACAAACAGUAGCUGUUAAAGAUCCUGUAAGCUCAGAUGCACUCUUGCGGAAAGAGCAGCUUCAUGUCGAGCCUCGGCAGAAACUCCGCGUUUAUUAUCAGUUUUUGUAUAACAAUAACACACGACAGCAGACGGAGGCUCGAGACGACCUGCACUGUCCCUGGUGUACGCUGAACUGCCGUAAACUUUACAGCCUCCUCAAACACCUCAAACUGUCUCACAGCCGUUUCAUCUUCAACUAUGUGCCUCACCCGAAAGGAGCUCGGAUAGAUGUGUCCGUGAACGAGUGUUACGAUGGAUCCUAUGUCGGAAAUCCUCACGACCUGCACUGCCAGCCCGGCUUCGCCUUCAGUCGCAACGGCCCUGUUAAACGCACCUGCGUCACGCACAUCCUUGUCUGCAGGCCCAGACGCACUAAGCCGAGUCUCUCCGAGUUCCUGGAGUGUGACGAGGUGCCGCUGGAGCAGAGGAGGCCGUUAGUGAGCGGUCAUAACCGCCUGUACUUCCACAGUGACAGCUGCAUGCCACUGCGUCCUCACGAGAUGGACGAGGACAGCGAGGACGAGAAAGACCCCGAGUGGCUGAGGGAGAAAACGGUCAUGCAAAUUGAUGAGUUUACUGAUGUCAACGAAGGAGAAAAGGAGGUGAUGAAACUGUGGAACCUUCAUGUAAUGAAACAUGGAUUUAUAGCUGAUAAUCAGAUGACUCAGGCCUGCAUGCUGUUUGUGGAGAACUACGGCUCGAUCGUUGCGGAGAAGAACCUGUGCCGGAACUUCCUGCUGCAUUUGGUCAGCAUGCACGACUUUGGCCUGGUGAGCACACUGAACAUCGACCGGGCCAUGUCUCGCCUGCGCCAGUUUAAACCGCCCCGGAAUAACGAGAACGCUGAACCCGCGAAGGAACACGCCUGAAACUCAGCAGGACAGAAACUUUCGAACCUUUCCCAGACGACAGGAGCUGCCAGACCUCUGGAUCCCGGAUCAUUCAUUUUAACCACAAAUCGGCUGAGUCAUUGGAGAUGAUGAACUACGUUGUGCUUUGAAAUAAACGUUACAUCUUCAAGCCAAUAGCCAGGUUGAUCAACUAAAUCAAGAGACUGGAAGAUUCCUACCACUGCCAUCUGAUGGGCAGAGUAUGCCCAGAACUCCUUAACCCACUCCUCCACAGAAAAUGCUGGUUGAUGGACAUUUCACAUCCUCAACUACAAUUGGGCUAGAUGGAACCGGUAUCCACCCAAGACCUGAGGCUAGAACUACCAUCCCAAGAGGGAAAUCCUCUGUUCCUUUCAAAAUAAUCCAGCAAGUUAAAACAGUUUCAUGUAAACUUGAAGUACCACCCACUUAUCAAAGAGUUCCCACUUUUCAUGCAUCACAACCUCAAACCUGUGGUCUCUUCUGCCCAAACCCAGGUAACAAGCGCUGAGCCACGUUCUUUCUUCAUUGGAGAUCGAUGGAGCACCCACUUAGUGUCCACAUACUUCAAGCAAUGGGGCAAAACCUUAUUCUACCUAGUGGACCGGGAGGGCUUUGACCCAGCAGAGGACAUUCUUUACCACUCUCUGAUCAACAAUCCCAGACCCCAUGGCCCGGUCACAUAGGUUGUAUGGCUUUUGGAUGCUGCCCAUCAGAAGGGAAGCUUCUGGCACAUCUAUUCAGGACAUUUUACUACUACACCACCAGAGGACAAACUUUUUUUUUUUAAAGACUUUGAAGAAUUAUUCCUUGGUUGUUGCAUUCACUUCCUGUCUCCCUUAAUCAGUUUCCUGUGCAAAGCCUUGCCAAUUAAUUGCACUUGUGUAAGUUCGGAGCUGUUUGGUUGUGAAGUUUUGGAUACUUUAACGUUUUUUGGAAGCAGCCUCCAGUAUCAACACUUACAGUAAUGGUCAAAAGGCACUUUUGAACUGCAGAAACUUUCAUAUUGUUCUUAGAACCGUUGGACCACGAGCUGGCCUAGUGGUGAGCGUGUCCGCCUCUCAACCGAGAAAUCAUGAGUUCUACUUGCGGUCGGGUCAUACCAAAGACCGUCAUAAAAAUGGUACCUACUACCGUCUAGCAAGGCACGCUGCAAUACAGAUGCGAGUGGGGAAGUCAAACUCUCAUGGUUACCAGAGGACUAGCCCCCCACUGUAACCCUAGCUGUAUAGGCUGAGAGGCCAAGGGCUAUCAAAACGAAGAUCGGCGCCGCACCCAUACGCCUUAAAGAGUUGGUUAGCAUUGGGACAGGAGACUGCCUGGGAAGGCCAGAUUAUGGUGUGAAAGGGUCUUUGACUUUAGAACUGUUUGAGGAAGUACCUCCUUUUUUGUGUGUCUGUACUGCAGGAACUGAGAAUGAUCAUAGUUCUUAGAACGCUGUUUUGAGGGACUUAUUUAGCUCCUACUUCAGGGUAGGUACUCUCCCAGCACAAGAAGAACCAUGAGUGAAGUAAGUGCAUGGUGACUGUUCCAGACAAAGGUGGAUGGUGAUUGACUCAUGUGCUUAACCAAUGCAGCACCGACAGCCACCAUUUUUAAAGGAAAUGCAAUUUUGAUGUGUCAAAGUGACAUAUAAAAAUCUUAAUAGAACUAAAUGUGCUCUUCCAUGGGUAUUUUUUAGCUAUCAAGUAAGAAAACCUGUUAUAAAAUAAUAAUAAUAAUAAUCCACACCAACAUAUUUUGAGCAAUCUCUAACUAUUUUCCACCAUGAAACGAACCCCAUUCGACAGAACAGGACGUUACAUCUUCAGGAAGGAGAACUUUGUGGUUUACAUGCAACAUGGCAAACUGCUUUUUUGUCUCAUGAAAUUAAAAAAAAAAAAUCGUGGCUGGUGAAGGUAUGACUAUUUAUAGCUGCUAUAACAAAUUAUAACAGGAAGUAACUUGUUUCGAGAUUUAACACAUUCUCACACCACUCUAAUUGUUUUUCUAUAACAGCAUACUCGGUCAUAGUUUAUUCCUUACAUACUGUCUACUUAACAUUAAUUCUCAAAAUUGUUAGAUGGGACUGGCUAGAAUACACAGACUCAUGAGCUCACCAUAAGAAAGCAGGAGUUUUAAAACUCUCAUAUCAGUAGAAAAGCAGGAAAAAAGAACCGUAGUAACCGAACACUGACUCAGUAGGCAGGGGCUAGCGAAAGGAACUGGCUCAUACAAACAUUAAUUUCUUCAUUGUUAUUGAUUUUAUCA